Molecule: ribosomal RNA, 303 nt
Filed under: uncultured Fusobacterium sp.
Lineage: Bacteria; Fusobacteriati; Fusobacteriota; Fusobacteriia; Fusobacteriales; Fusobacteriaceae
Description: bacterial SSU rRNA
Rfam family: Bacterial small subunit ribosomal RNA
Source: RNAcentral
GGCUACACACGUGCUACAAUGGGUAGUACAGAGAGUCGCGACCCUGUGAGGGUGAGCUAAUCUCAGAAAACUAUUCUUAGUUCGGAUUGUACUCUGCAACUCGAGUACAUGAAGUUGGAAUCGCUAGUAAUCGCGAAUCAGCAAUGUCGCGGUGAAUACGUUCUCGGGUCUUGUACACACCGCCCGUCACACCACGAGAGUUGGUUGCACCUGAAGUAGCAGGCCUAACCGUAAGGAGGGAUGCUCCGAGGGUGUGAUUAGCGAUUGGGGUGAAGUCGUAACAAGGUAUCCGUACGGGAACGU